Molecule: ribosomal RNA, 492 nt
Filed under: uncultured bacterium
Lineage: Bacteria
Description: partial 16S ribosomal RNA
Rfam family: Bacterial small subunit ribosomal RNA
Source: RNAcentral
AGUGAACGCUGGCGGUAGGCCUAACACAUGCAAGUCGAACGGCAGCACAGUAAGCGCUUUCUCUUACGGGUGGCGAGUGGCGGACGGGUGAGGAAUACAUCGGAAUCUACUUUUUCGUGGGGGAUAACGGAGGGAAACUUACGCUAAUACCGCAUACGACCUACGGGUGAAAGCAGGGGAUCUUCGGACCUUGCGCGAUUGAAUGAGCCGAUGUCGGAUUAGCUAGUUGGCGGGGUAAAGGCCCACCAAGGCGACGAUCCGUAGCUGGUCUGAGAGGAUGAUCAGCCACACUGGAACUGAGACACGGUCCAGACUCCUACGGGAGGCAGCAGUGGGGAAUAUUGGACAAUGGGCGCAAGCCUGAUCCAGCCAUGCCGCGUGGGUGAAGAAGGCCUUCGGGUUGUAAAGCCCUUUUGUUGGGAAAGAAAAGCAGCAGGUUAAUACCCCGCUGUUAUGACGGUACCCAAAGAAUAAGCACCGGCUAACUUCGUG